UACGUAGGGGGCAAGCGUUGUCCGGAUUUAUUGGACGUAAAGAGCGUGUAGGCGGCCAGGGAGGUCCGUUGUGAAAACUCGAGGCUCAACCUCGAGACGCCGAUGGAAACCCCCUGGCUAGAGUCCGGAAGAGGAGAAUGGAAUUCCUGGUGUAGCGGUGAAAUGCGCAGAUAUCAGGAAGAACACCCGUGGCGAAGGCGGCUCUCUGGGACGGUACUGACGCUGAGACGCGAAAGCGUGGGGAGCGAACAGG
RNAcentral lists this ribosomal RNA (253 nucleotides) under uncultured bacterium. RNAcentral's name for it is "partial 16S ribosomal RNA". It matches the Rfam family "Bacterial small subunit ribosomal RNA", at positions 524 to 776 of the family's 1533-position model. The record is from RNAcentral.